AAGCAACCCAGAGCCCUCCUCCCGCCUGCUCUGUGUAGGAGACAGCCUGCGGAGCCCACUGCCGGCGCGCAGAGAGCCCAGCAGCUCUUGAGUCCAGGAAGCAAGGGUGGGAGGAGGGACGAGCCAGUGGCAAUGACCCAGACCCGGACGACCCCCAUUGCUGAGCCAGCGGAGCUGCUUGGAGGCAGAGGUUGCAGUGAGCUGAGAUUUUGCGACUACACUCCAACCUGGGCAACAGAGCGGGACUCCAUUCCAAAAAAAUAAGAAAAACAGAAAAAUAAUAAUUACAUCUGCAAAGACCUUAUUUCCAGGGUCCACGAGGCUGGUGUCAGACCUAUUGGGAGACCCUCUGCGUUAGUGAGAAAAACGGCAAGAAAUGGGAGCACGCGGAAACCUCCAAGACUAGAGCCACCAGAUGCCACCGACAGCACGCAGCUGGACCAGCACGGGGGAGGGCCUUCGUGGGUCGAGAGCUCGCUCGGGAGAUAGUUGGUGCUUUUCUUUCAGGAGAAGAAUCCCUGGCGGAGUCUGACCGUUCUCUGGCGCACAGCCCCGGGGGUGGGCACAGCAGCCGCCCCUGCUGAAGGGACUGACGCCUCCGACGACCAGCAGCCAAGUUAAACGCACUGUUCCGUGAGCAGCUUUGUUGGAGACAGCGCGGUUCACAUUCUCUUCCAACGGAGCCGCUGACUGCGGAGCUGGGAGGGGACGUGACAGAACCCAGCCAUCCAACGUCCCCCCACCCCUCCCCAGCUGGGACCUCCGGCUGCUUCCGGGCUGCGCUGGGUGGCGUCAAGGAGCCGCCCCUCUGGGCCGCGUCCCUCCCUCACGCCCUGCACACUGGCCCUGUGUGGCCGGCGGGGCGCCUAAAAGGGCGGAAGGAUGCAGGGGCGGAGGGGGCUCGGGAUUGCACGCCUAGCUCAGACCCCCCAGCCAGGACCCCUCGCGCUGUUGGACACGCCAGCCUCCCGACCCUGCGGCUCCUACGGGAGGUGACAAGGACCCUGCCAACCUGGCCUGAAUGGCCCAGUUUGAUACAGAUCAGGUUUUCAAUGAAUGAGACCGCGGUGUGGUCUAGGCGGAGGGAUGAGAGGAGGGGAUUCUGCUGGGAUAAGUGGGGGCGGGGUAAGGAGGGGAUUCUUUUCCUGGGCUGAGGAGAACGCAGGGACAAAGUACACAGGGGUAGUUGAGUGAGCAGGUGAGGCCCUAGGCUGGUUCCCCACCUUCUCAGGAUCGGAGCCACUCACUUCCUGGUACUCUCUGCAGUCUCCUGGCGUUAAAUAACAUCCCUUUGCUGGAGACUCUGGAUUCACAUCCAUAAUCGCAGCCUCCCCUACUCAUCCCCUCACGCUUCCCAUGAACUAACCUUGAAGGACCCGACCAGAGCCCUGACCUCCGUCCCACACACCUGCUACAUGGAAGGUGUUCUCCACAUCAGUUCAAGGCAGUGUCACUCUUCAGGAUGUUCAGGCUCUAAACCUUGGACUCCUCCUCCAGAUUUCUCUCUCCUUCCUUCUCCUUGUCUCUCCCUUGCACUUACGGUUCACUUUUCCUUCGUAGCUUUGUAGCUCAUUCCCCCUUCCACUUUCCACACCACCUUCUGGUCUGUUAAUUAAAUAUUACCUGGUUUCCACUGACACCUUCCCUGGGUUCCCAAUUGAAAAUCACAACAUCAUCCUCCUCCUCUGCUUUUUUUCUCCAAAUUAUAUCCUCACCCAAUUAUGUGUUAUUCUCAUUAAUCUUGCUUAAUUAAUUAGCAGACAUUAUUAAUGCCUGUUUCCCCUAUCACCACCACUAGACUAUGAACUCCUAAGGACUCCUUCCUUCCACCACUGUUGUACUCGCUUCACCUAGAACUGCUUGGCACAUACAAUGUGCUCCAUAAAUAUUUGUUGAAUGAAAGACUAGACACAACUUAGGAUUCACUCCCCCAUGUGGCAUCCAUAAGCCCUGUAUGCAGGUAAAAUGUCAGUGGGUUGACUAAAUACUGGAAGUGGAAAAAACUUCACCUCUUUGGUUUGCAGUUGUCUAGGAUAUUUAGGCCAAUGGAAAAUCCAGUUUUCCUUAGAAUUAAGCCAGUGCCGCCAGACUUGCCAGUUUACCAUGCUUGUCUGACUGGUCCUCAGCAUGGGUCAUACGUGUCCAAUGAAUUCAAACAAAAUCUUGAGAAGACACGAACCUUGCCCUUCGGCUGGGCGCGGUGGCUCACGCCUGUAAUCCCAGCACUUUGGGAGGCCGAGGCAGGCGGAUCACGAGGUCAGGAGAUCGAGACCAUCCUGGCUAACAUGGUGAAACCCCGUCUCUACUAAAAAUACAAAAAAUUAGCCGAGCGUGGUGGCGGGCGCCUGUAGUCCCAGCUACUCAGGAGGCUGAGGCAGGAGAAUGGCGUGAACCCGGGAGGCGGAGCUUGCAGUGAGUGAGCCGAGAUCGCACCCCUGCACUCCAGCCUGGGCGACAGAGCGAGACUCCGUAAAAAAACAAAAAAAAAACCUUGCCCUUCAUUCCCCAUUUCUAUCAUAAUCUACACAGAGUUUUGAACAGGCAUUUUAAAAUCAACAAUAUAUUAUUUACAAUUUUGUUAGUAUACAUAACUCUAACUCACUGUUAAAAAUCACCUGUCUUUAUAUCCAUUAAAUGACACUUGCAUAUGCUCCAA
This 2656-nucleotide long non-coding RNA is filed under the name Homo sapiens (human). RNAcentral's name for it is "KHDC1 antisense RNA 1, transcript variant 26 (KHDC1-AS1)". The record is from RNAcentral. Lineage: Eukaryota; Metazoa; Chordata; Mammalia; Primates; Hominidae.